Molecule: long non-coding RNA, 860 nt
Filed under: Homo sapiens (human)
Lineage: Eukaryota; Metazoa; Chordata; Mammalia; Primates; Hominidae
Description: HSALNT0322181
Source: RNAcentral
GACUCUGCUGAGUAAGGAGGGGUGGGGCGGGUGAGUCGGCCUCGCCAUGCGCAUGCGCGAGGCCCCAGCCGCUGCUUUGGUCACAGUGACCGCCACCGUUGCCCGGGGAUGGGUCCCUGAGACUUGGCGAAGUAGGAGCCCUGUGUGAUCGUGCGUCAGAGUCGGGGCUCAGACCAGUCGUGGCCAGGGCAGUUACCAGGACGGUCUCCGGAGGCCGGGAUUCGCGGAGGGUCAACCUGGAGGAAGAAACGCCAGAAGGAAGAAACUUCAGACAGAUCGCCGGGGACGCAGCACGGGAUCCCAGCCUCAGGCCUGCGGGGACGGUGUGCGGGAAGGGAGUGUAUCCUGGUGUAUGACAGCAUAUAGUAGAGACCAGUGUCAAUUAGGGCCUGUGAACUGAGACAGGGUGACUGGCUAAGUCCACAACCCAUUAGAAACCCAGAAAUAAUCAAAUCAUGGAGAGAUUAGUCCAGGGACAAUAAAUAUGGAUUAGGGAAGAAUGUGUUAACUCAGCAGGCCAGGGUUUCUUCAACCCUGCACAUUCAAAGAGGGAUCAUGGAAAGGAAGCUGAAUUUGCUGAGUUUUGCCACGUGGGCAUUGCAUGCCUAUGUGAUUAACCACCAAUAAAAACCUGGGACAUCAAAAAAUAAAUAAGCUGCUUUAAUUGCCAAGAAUUCACAUGUGGUUGUAUGCAGCAUUACUGGGAGAUUGAAGUGUAUCUGCAUGUGAUUCUACUGUGAUGGACACUUGUAAAUUUGUGCCUGGAGUCUCCUGGAAUUUGCCCUGAGAAUCUUUUUCCUUUGUUGAUAAGAAUCUGCAUCCUUUUGUUUUAAUAAACGAUAAACAUGAGUAUAAUUGCU